Molecule: long non-coding RNA, 1160 nt
Organism: Bos taurus (domestic cattle)
Lineage: Eukaryota; Metazoa; Chordata; Mammalia; Artiodactyla; Bovidae
Source: Ensembl
AUUGGCGGUGUGAAACCAUAGAGCACCGUACAGCUGCCAAGUGGUGGGGCCAUUCUGUCACUGUGUAACCUAAGAAGAACUGAACCCAGUGGCGUGUCCUCUGCUCAGAAGCCGUGGUGACUCCGCACUGUGGACCAGGUCUUCAGGACUGCCUCUGGAUCAGCGCUUGUAAAAUGACCUCUGAACUCUUGGAAUAUCCUGCCUGAAAAGAGUACCUCUGUACACGUGAGACCUUGGGCCGGGCCAGAGAGUCUAUGCUAACAAAGUGACACGGUUGCAUCCAGCCCUGGAUAUCACCAAAUGUACCUACAGAAAACACGUCAAUCAGUGAAUUUGCAAGGCGUGGGGUUGGGGGGCCCCAAGGGCACAUAAAACCUAUUGGAGACAAGCAGUGUCGCCUGUCCAGAUGGCCGCACCCACUAUUUCUCAUACGGCCUGCCCUGGGUUUGAAGCAGAGUCGCUGCUCAGUAUAUAUUGGUAAAGAAGAAACAGUGAAAGAAUGGCAAGAUACAGACAACAGGUUUGAUGUGAAGAUUGGCAGUUCAUUCUGGGAAAUGGCUUAUGGUUUGGAUCAAAUCCCUGCCCUGGGAAAACCUGAUCUAGGGGAUCAUGAGGGGCAGGCGGAGAGGGUGUGCAUGAGGACCAGAUUUCCUAGCUGUCCCAUGGGAUGUUAUGAAUGUCUCUAAGGGUGAUGACGAAGCACAGCUCCAAGGGAAGCGAGGGUAGCUGCAGUGAGUACACAGGAUGUAAGCCUGUCUCUGCAGUGGGAGGUAAUGGAAACUGCAGCCCAGAGAGCAAGCAGACCCCGGUCCAGGUGUGCUCAGGUGAAGUAGAGGUGGGAGAACCAGGCUGGGGAGGAAAGGUCUCAGAGAAGGGCUCCUGUCCUGACUCCAGCUACUUCUGCUUCAGAACAAUUUCCUGGGAGAGGAACCCAAGAGGUGAAGAGGAACCCAAGAGGCGAAGAGGAACCCAAGUGAGGUGGGGGCAAGUUUUCCACAUGGAAAAGCCUCCAUUCAGCAGGGAACUCAGAUCUGCCAGAGAAUAAAUACGAGUGAAACUUAAAAAACAUGAGGGUGGAAGCCGACAUUAAAGCGACGCCCACCAGCAACUCAUUGAGAAUAAAGCCCUCCUGAGUGUAGCAAGUUAAGAGUGUCUAUCAC